Molecule: ribosomal RNA, 255 nt
Filed under: uncultured bacterium
Lineage: Bacteria
Description: partial 16S ribosomal RNA
Rfam family: Bacterial small subunit ribosomal RNA
Source: RNAcentral
UACGAAGGGGGCUAGCGUUGUUCGGAUUUACUGGGCGUAAAGCGCGCGCAGGCGGCCUUUUAAGUCUGGCGGUGAAAUGCCGGGGCUCAACCCCGUUACAUGCCGCGGAUACUGGGAGGCUGGAGACGAGUAGAGGCAAGCGGAAUUCCGGGUGUAGCGGUGGAAUGCGUAGAGAUCCGGAAGAACACCGGAGGCGAAGGCGGCUUGCUGGGCUUGGUCUGACGCUGAGGCGCGAAAGCGUGGGGAGCGAACAGG